RNAcentral lists this ribosomal RNA (600 nucleotides) under uncultured bacterium. Its description in RNAcentral is "bacterial SSU rRNA". It matches the Rfam family "Bacterial small subunit ribosomal RNA", at positions 29 to 628 of the family's 1533-position model. The record is from RNAcentral.
AUGAACGCUGCUGGAGGCCUAAACAUGCAAGUCGAACGGUAACAUUUCUAGCUUGCUAGAAGAUGACGAGUGGCGGACGGGUGAGUAAUGCUUGGGAACUUGCCUUUGCGAGGGGGAUAACAGUUGGAAACGACUGCUAAUACCGCAUAAUGUCUUCGGACCAAACGGGGCUUAGGCUCCGGCGCAAAGAGAGGCCCAAGUGAGAUUAGCUAGUUGGUAAGGUAACGGCUUACCAAGGCGACGAUCUCUAGCUGUUCUGAGAGGAAGAUCAGCCACACUGGGACUGAGACACGGCCCAGACUCCUACGGGAGGCAGCAGUGGGGAAUAUUGCACAAUGGGGGAAACCCUGAUGCAGCCAUGCCGCGUGUGUGAAGAAGGCCUUCGGGUUGUAAAGCACUUUCAGUUGUGAGGAAAAGUUAGUAGUUAAUACCUGCUAGCCGUGACGUUAAUAACAGAAGAAGCACCGGCUAACUCCGUGCCAGCAGCCGCGGUAAUACGGAGGGUGCGAGCGUCAAUCGGAAUUACUGGGCGUAAAGCGCACGCAGGCGGUUUGUUAAGCUAGAUGUGAAAGCCCCGGGCUCAACCUGGGAUGGUCAUUU